AUAGUGAACCAGUACCGUGAGGGAAAGGCGAAAAGAACCCCGGCGAGGGGAGUGAAAAAGAACCUGAAACCGUGUACGUACAAGCAGUGGGAGCCCCACCACUAAGCCAGUGGUGAACUCCACAUACGCAUCCUUUGCUGAGGAUACGGUUAACGGAGCGAAAGCGACGUUCAACCGCAAAAGAAGCAGAGGGGGCUUAGUGGUGGGGUGACUGCGUACCUUUUGUAUAAUGGGUCAGCGACUUAUAUUCUGUAGCAAGGUUAACCGAAUAGGGGAGCCGGAGGGAAACCGAGUCUUAAUUGGGCGUUAAGUUGCAGGGUAUAGACCCGAAACCCGGUGAUCUAGCCAUGGGCAGGUUGAAGGUUGGGUAACACUAACUGGAGGACCGAACCGACUAAUGUUGAAAAAUUAGCGGAUGACCUGUGGCUGGGGGUGAAAGGCCAAUCAAACCGGGAGAUAGCUGGUUCUCCCCGAAAGCUAUUUAGGUAGCGCCUCGUGAAUUCAUCUCCGGGGGUAGAGCACUGUUUCGGCUAGGGGGCCAUCCCGGCUUACCAACCCGAUGCAAACUGCGAAUACCGGAGAAUGUUAUCACGGGAGACACACGGCGGGUGCUAACGUCCGUCGUGAAGAGGGAAACAACCCAGACCGCCAGCUAAGGUCCCAAAGUCAUGGUUAAGUGGGAAACGAUGUGGGAAGGCCCAGACAGCCAGGAUGUUGGCUUAGAAGCAGCCAUCAUUUAAAGAAAGCGUAAUAGCUCACUGGUCGAGUCGGCCUGCGCGGAAGAUGUAACGGGGCUAAACCAUG
This 804-nucleotide ribosomal RNA is filed under the name Salmonella enterica. Its description in RNAcentral is "partial 23S ribosomal RNA". It matches the Rfam family "Bacterial large subunit ribosomal RNA", at positions 487 to 1191 of the family's 2925-position model. The record is from RNAcentral. Lineage: Bacteria; Pseudomonadati; Pseudomonadota; Gammaproteobacteria; Enterobacterales; Enterobacteriaceae.